AAAGAAAGAGAGAGAGUGCGCGCCAGCCAGCGGGUCCUGCGCGCCUCGGGGUGGCUCGCCUUUUUUUGGAAGCCGGGUCGCCAGCCGCCCUCUCCCUCCCCCUCUCGCCUCAGCGGCAGCCCUUGUUGCCUCGAGCGGGCGACCUCAUCAUGCCGAAGGAGGCGGGCGAAGCGGGGACUCCCCCGGGACCGCUACUCCUGCUCCUGCUCCUUUCCUCCGCCGUGCGAGGCAGAAGCAGGCAUGCCAGUAUUUGCCAUUUGUGCCUUGAAGCUUAUAGGCAGUCAGCUAAGCAUCGAGCAUUUACCAACAUUAACCUGUUGAAUGAACACUACAAUUACACUGAACAAGUUAAGAGAGAGGGGAGAAUACAGAACUGCCUACCUUCCCUGCAACAGGCGGGCUACACUCUGUAUUAGAAGACACAGUAUCACCAGCUUUCAGUGCCACUGUUAUCAUCAUCAUCACCGUCAUAAUCUCCGGAAGUGCUUACCUGUGUUUCUUGAAAUAUAUCUGCACCGGGUGCUGUAAAUCUACUCAGGUGGUACCUGUCAGAAGACUGGAUCAGAGCAGAUCAGAAGAGCAAGUGUAAUGGUGUUAUCAUUCAAUGAUCUGUGGCCCAGCCUGGGAGAAUUCAUGCUGGUAAAUGAAAGAGACAGAAAAGGCCAUCCUUCUCCAGAGAUUUCAGAAAGAAUGUUUGGACACUUAUGGGAAAGGAGUGAAUCUUUCUAGAGAAUCGACUUGGUCAGAAGAUGUGUGGAACUUUCUGACAUAAAGUUAUUUGUGUAUAGACUAACUAACUAACUAAUUUCUUUCUUUGUUUAUUUAUUUAUUGUUUUUAUUUAUUUGUAUUUGUUUGUAUUCCACCCAUAUUGACAAUGAUGGACUAGCCCUUUUUUUUUGAAUGGGACAUUGAUGAGUCACCGCUUCCUGGAGGACUCCAAAUCAGACUUCUGGUAUCAGGAAGCUCAAUUCUGGGGCUUUAAUCAAGCAAUCAAAAUGCUGACAGGUGUUUUCAUGUUCUAACAGCUGGUGAUUUCAAGUUCUGGCCACCAUUUUCAUCCUGUAGAGAAAACAAAGGAAAUGGGUGAGUGGAACUAAGUUGUAUGGGAGCUGCAAGGAAUUAUGGGCCUGAUAGUGUCCGUCCAUUAGGGUGCAGGGUGCCUCUAAAAAACUACCAGACCCAUAAUCCCGUGUAGCUAUCACAGAUUAGCCCUGCUCACCCAUUUCCCCUGCCUUCUCCAUAGGUUGAAAAUCGCUGCCCGAUUCUAAAAUCACCAGCUGUUAGAAAUUGAAAACACCCAUCAGUACUUUCUUGGUUAAAGCCACAAAUUAAAAAAUGACUAAAACCUGCUUCAGUCAGGAGCAGGAUUUCUCCUAGUCACUUGAUAUCAAAAGCCAAACUGGCACAGUGUGCUGCUUGUAUACUACCCCAUAGUGUUUCAUGCACUCUUUGAGUUGUUUACAAUUUGUAAUUAUGCAGCCUACACAGCAAGCUGGGUACUCAGUUUGCCAGAAAGAUGGAAGACUGAGUGAACCUUGAGCCAGCUACCUGAGCCCGCUGGAAUCAAACUCAGGUCAUGAGCAGUCUUGAUUGCGGUACUACAGUUCCACCACUGCGCCAUGAAGCUCUUCUUACGGAUAAGCCAGUAUCACGCAUUACCCUUUGGAAUUUGUAGGUUUGCUUCUAAUAAAAGCCUGUUCUACUUUUGUUUAGUUCA
Long non-coding RNA from Pogona vitticeps (central bearded dragon), 1718 nucleotides. NCBI's taxonomy places the organism in Eukaryota, Metazoa, Chordata, Lepidosauria, Squamata, Agamidae. The record is from Ensembl.